RNAcentral lists this ribosomal RNA (378 nucleotides) under Klebsiella pneumoniae. RNAcentral describes it as "bacterial SSU rRNA". It matches the Rfam family "Bacterial small subunit ribosomal RNA", at positions 794 to 1172 of the family's 1533-position model. The record is from RNAcentral. Lineage: Bacteria; Pseudomonadati; Pseudomonadota; Gammaproteobacteria; Enterobacterales; Enterobacteriaceae.
UCCACGCCGUAAACGAUGUCGAUUUGGAGGUUGUGCCCUUGAGGCGUGGCUUCCGGAGCUAACGCGUUAAAUCGACCGCCUGGGGAGUACGGCCGCAANGGUUAAAACUCAAAUGAAUUGACGGGGGCCCGCACAAGCGGUGGAGCAUGUGGUUUAAUUCGAUGCAACGCGAAGAACCUUACCUGGUCUUGACAUCCACAGAACUUUCCAGAGAUGGUUGGUGCCUUCGGGAACUGUGAGACAGGUGCUGCAUGGCUGUCGUCAGCUCGUGUUGUGAAAUGUUGGGUUAAGUCCCGCAACGAGCGCAACCCUUAUCCUUUGUUGCCAGCGGUCCGGCCGGGAACUCAAAGGAGACUGCCAGUGAUAAACUGGAGGAAG